This is a long non-coding RNA of Drosophila obscura, 679 nucleotides long. RefSeq lists it as uncharacterized. Lineage: Eukaryota; Metazoa; Arthropoda; Insecta; Diptera; Drosophilidae. The transcript is spliced from 2 exons. The record is from RefSeq and is a predicted model, not a curated record.
AUUUACUUGCUUCAUCCGAAUCGAUCUUGAAGCCGUUUUGUCUGGUUUUUCUUUUGAAACGAUGCGGAACAUGAAACUGUUGGUGAUCUUCCAGGUGAUUUCUUAUACCCUGUUGGUAGAAUCAAAUCCCGAUUGCGUUGGCAACCCCAUUGGCACGGGAGAUUGUAGAAGGAUGACCGUCGUUUACUACUACGUCAGUGGGACGAACCGAUGUGAAAGGACCAAAUUAAGAUGCAUCGUAUUUGGUUCAAAUAACUAUCGGACGAUUGAACUUUGUGAGAGAGUCUGCAAGAAACGGAUUACUCUUCAUGAACUAGACCUGGGCUCAAUUCUAAAAGUUGGAACGAUUAAUUAAUUUAUUUGAAAUUUACGAUCAAUCAUUGAUUACACAUUUAAAUAAAUAAUUAAUCAUUUUCUUGCAGUGAUUCACGGCUAUGCUUUAGGCACUAAAAAUCUUAGAAUAUUCGUAGAUAAAUACAUCUUUAUAUGCAUAUGUAUAUGUACAUAUACUAGUAUGCUCUGCUUGGCUUGUCACCAGCGUCUUUAGGUCGACGGGCACUCAUAAAUAUUUCAACUUGUCACAGCGCACAUGUAUGAGUACUUUUAUCCACGGUUCGUUCUCGUAGAGUACCAGGGUAUAUUGUGUUCAAUGAAAUGUAUGCAACAUACAGAGGCAAGC